This 459-nucleotide ribosomal RNA is filed under the name uncultured bacterium. RNAcentral describes it as "partial 16S ribosomal RNA". It matches the Rfam family "Bacterial small subunit ribosomal RNA", at positions 338 to 795 of the family's 1533-position model. The record is from RNAcentral.
CCUACGGGGGGCAGCAGUGAGGAAUAUUGGUCAAUGGGCGAGAGCCUGAACCAGCCAAGUCGCGUGAGGGAGGACGGUCCUACGGGUUGUAAACUUCUUUUGCCGGGGGACAAAAGCAGGCACGCGUGCCGUCCUGAGGGUACUCGGAGAAAAAGCAUCGGCUAACUCCGUGCCAGCAGCCGCGGUAAUACGGAGGAUGCGAGCGUUAUCCGGAUUUAUUGGGUUUAAAGGGUGCGUAGGCGGGAUGCCAAGUCAGCGGUAAAAGACGGGGGCUCAACCCGCGCUCGCCGUUGAAACUGGCGUUCUUGAGAGGGCGAGAGGUACGCGGAAUGCGUGGUGUAGCGGUGAAAUGCAUAGAUAUCGCGCAGAACCCCGAUUGCGAAGGCAGCGUACCGGCGCCGAACUGACGCUGAGGCACGAAAGCGUGGGUAUCGAACAGGAUUAGAUACCCGAGUAGUC